RNAcentral lists this ribosomal RNA (254 nucleotides) under uncultured bacterium. Its description in RNAcentral is "partial 16S ribosomal RNA". It matches the Rfam family "Bacterial small subunit ribosomal RNA", at positions 524 to 776 of the family's 1533-position model. The record is from RNAcentral.
UACGUAGGGCGCAAGCGUUAUCCGGAAUUAUUGGGCGUAAAGAGCUCGUAGGCGGUUUGUCGCGUCUGCCGUGAAAGUCCGGGGCUCAACCGUCCGAUCUGCGGUGGGUACGGGCAGACUAGAGUGAUGUAGGGGAGACUGGAAUUCCUGGUGUAGCGGUGAAAUGCGCAGGUAUCAGGAGGAACACCGAUGGCGAAGGCAGGUCUCUGGGCAUUAACUGACGCUGAGGAGCGAAAGCAUGGGGAGCGAACAGG